CAGCACAAACAGAUGGUCAAUGAAACCAAUUAACCUUUCCCGAUCUCCCUUUCAGACUUUUCAUGUCUUCUGAGUCUAUGGACAAAUGAAUAGAAACUAUCAAGAGACUUCAUGCCAGACUGUGAUGAAUAGGAUGGCUAGUUGGUGUACAUGCAGCUUGCUCAAAUAGACCCCAGGACCACUAGGCUGGAGCACCUGAGGAGGGCUUAUUUAACAAAACAGUUACUAGAGCCCAAUCCUGCAGUGCUCAGAGUAUCUCUUACAGGAUGCUGAGCUCUCUUACUCCUGCUUAUGUUCAAGAGGGAUGAGGAUUCCCCAGCACCCAUCUGGGCGCACUCAGAAUCUUAUAGGAUCAGACCUUGAGAAGGUAUGGCUA
This 376-nucleotide long non-coding RNA is filed under the name Chrysemys picta bellii (western painted turtle). RNAcentral's name for it is "lncRNA (ENSCPBG00000025149.1)". The record is from RNAcentral. Lineage: Eukaryota; Metazoa; Chordata; Testudines; Emydidae.